Molecule: ribosomal RNA, 759 nt
Filed under: Neisseria subflava
Lineage: Bacteria; Pseudomonadati; Pseudomonadota; Betaproteobacteria; Neisseriales; Neisseriaceae
Description: bacterial SSU rRNA
Rfam family: Bacterial small subunit ribosomal RNA
Source: RNAcentral
AUUGAACGCUGGCGGCAUGCUUUACACAUGCAAGUCGGACGGCAGCACAGAGAAGCUUGCUUCUUGGGUGGCGAGUGGCGAACGGGUGAGUAAUAUAUCGGAACGUACCGAGUAAUGGGGGAUAACUAAUCGAAAGAUUAGCUAAUACCGCAUAUUCUCCGAGGAGGAAAGCAGGGGACCUUCGGGCCUUGCGUUAUUCGAGCGGCCGAUAUCUGAUUAGCUAGUUGGUGGGGUAAAGGCCUACCAAGGCGACGAUCAGUAGCGGGUCUGAGAGGAUGAUCCGCCACACUGGGACUGAGACACGGCCCAGACUCCUACGGGAGGCAGCAGUGGGGAAUUUUGGAUAAUGGGCGCAAGCCUGAUCCAGCCAUGCCGCGUGUCUGAAGAAGGCCUUCGGGUUGUAAAGGACUUUUGUCAGGGAAGAAAAGGCUGUUGCUAAUAUCGACAGCUGAUGACGGUACCUGAAGAAUAAGCACCGGCUAACUACGUGCCAGCAGCCGCGGUAAUACGUAGGGUGCAAGCGUUAAUCGGAAUUACUGGGCGUAAAGCGAGCGCAGACGGUUACUUAAGCAGGAUGUGAAAUCCCCGGGCUUAACCUGGGAACUGCGUUCUGAACUGGGUGACUAGAGUGUGUCAGAGGGAGGUAGAAUUCCACGUGUAGCAGUGAAAUGCGUAGAGAUGUGGAGGAAUACCGAUGGCGAAGGCAGCCUCCUGGGAUAACACUGACGUUCAUGCUCGAAAGCGUGGGUAGCAAACAGG